GUGCUUGUAAUGUUGGUUGUAAAAAAUUGGUAUACCAUAUUUUGAUAUUAGUUUAAUAAAAUGGUAGAGAUUAUAUUAUAAAAUUUGGCAUUAAGUUAGAAUGGAAAAUGAAUGAAGUUAUUAGUUAAUUUUGAAUGAUAUUAUGAAUGUUUAGUUAUUAAAUUACAAUGUUAAUUAAUUGGUCAUGAUUUAAGUAUAUUUGAGUUUAUAUUGUUUUU
RNAcentral lists this long non-coding RNA (218 nucleotides) under Gossypium barbadense (sea-island cotton). Its description in RNAcentral is "long non-coding RNA (GBAR_LNC014923)". Lineage: Eukaryota; Viridiplantae; Streptophyta; Magnoliopsida; Malvales; Malvaceae. The record is from RNAcentral.